ACCACCACCACUACUACCACCGGGUUUAAGGAACGUACACUGGACAUCCGGUUGGUUCUCUCUCAGCGGUCAUAGGAUUCCUGUUCCUGUUGGGGGUCAAGAUGCGUGGGAAACUACCUUGAGGGAAAAGCACCAACAGGAUCUAAGACUAUUACUUUAUAUAAACUUACAUUGUAUACUAGUUGGUGGUUCCGUGUUGGGAGGAUGCUGCGCCCACCAGGAGUCCUCAGGCGCCGGGAAGGACCAGAAAGAAAAGAUCAGAAAAACAAGACAAACAAGAAGGAUGAGAAAAUUACAUCAGCUAGUCAGAAAAAAAUGCAAUAGAAAACACAGAGGUGGAAGAAUAGAAAAAAUAGAAUAAAUUAAGAAAAUUACAACAUGAACAAUGGCUGAACGCUACGGGACCAUCACCAGGAAGCCCAAUGCCGCCAGGAGCCACGAGGUAACAAAAUUAAGACACUCGACAACAAGGAAGCAGCAGCAGUAACAACAACAUCAACAGCAGCAGUUGGGAGGCAAGACAAAUCACCUCAUCAUUACCACUGGGCUCAGACUCUCCUCCGGGCCUGGCUUGCUCUGUGGAGUGGACGUUCACUAAUGCCUUCUUCAUUCAUCGCGUCGCCUUGAGCCGCCGCUGAUCUGACCCCGAGCAACAGAUGAAGCUGUGAGGAGUUACUUAAGCCUUUCUGCGAUGAGC
Portunus trituberculatus (swimming crab) is the source of this 697-nucleotide long non-coding RNA. RefSeq lists it as uncharacterized. Lineage: Eukaryota; Metazoa; Arthropoda; Malacostraca; Decapoda; Portunidae. The record is from RefSeq and is a predicted model, not a curated record. The transcript has 3 exons.